RNAcentral lists this ribosomal RNA (253 nucleotides) under uncultured bacterium. RNAcentral describes it as "partial 16S ribosomal RNA". It matches the Rfam family "Bacterial small subunit ribosomal RNA", at positions 524 to 776 of the family's 1533-position model. The record is from RNAcentral.
UACAGAGGGUGCUAGCGUUAAUCGGAUUUACUGGGCGUAAAGGGCGCGUAGGUGGAUAUUUAAGUGUGAUGUGAAAGCCCCGGGCUUAACCUGGGAAGUGCAUCGCAAACUGGAUAUCUAGAGUACGAGAGAGGGUGGUGGAAUUUCCGGUGUAGCGGUGAAAUGCGCAGAUAUCGGGAGGAACACCAAUGGCGAAGGCAGCUCACUGGGACGGUACUGACGCUGAGACGCGAAAGCGUGGGGAGCAAACAGG